GCCAGGUGUGGUGGCUCACGCCUGUAAUCCCAGCACUUUGGGAGGCCGAGGCGGGAGGAUCACCUGAGGUCAGGAGUUCGAGACCAGCCUGGCCAACAUGGUGAAACCCCGUCUCUA
This is an unclassified non-coding RNA of Pongo abelii (Sumatran orangutan), 117 nucleotides long. It matches the Rfam family "Metazoan signal recognition particle RNA". From Rfam's summary of the family: The signal recognition particle (SRP) is a universally conserved ribonucleoprotein. It is involved in the co-translational targeting of proteins to membranes. The eukaryotic SRP consists of a 300-nucleotide 7S RNA and six proteins: SRPs 72, 68, 54, 19, 14, and 9. NCBI's taxonomy places the organism in Eukaryota, Metazoa, Chordata, Mammalia, Primates, Hominidae. The record is from Ensembl.